This 428-nucleotide small RNA is filed under the name Pongo abelii (Sumatran orangutan). RNAcentral describes it as "retained intron". Lineage: Eukaryota; Metazoa; Chordata; Mammalia; Primates; Hominidae. The record is from RNAcentral.
GACGAGGAGAAGUCCCACAGGAGACUGAAGCGGAAACGGAAGAAAGAGCGGGAGAAAGAGAAAAGGAGGUCGAAGAAGAGGAGGAAAUCCAAGCACAAACGCCAUGCUUCUUCUAGCGAUGACUUCUCUGACUUCUCAGAUGACUCGGAUUUCAGCCCCAGUGAGAAAGGGCACCGCAAGUACAGAGAGUACAGCCCCCCGUAUGCGCCGGUGAGUGACUGGCGUGCCCUGCCUGAGCUCUGGGGCCGGGAGGAGUUCAACUGCUUGUGUUUCUUGAGCACUUGGUGUGUUCUGGGCAUUUUUUGUGAGUUUCAGUCCUGGGCCAUCAGGUAUUAGUUUAAUCCCCAUUUUAUGAGUGAGGAAACUGAGACUUAGACACUUUAAACAAGGCAGCCUAGACAACCAAGUGAGACUCCACAAAAAAUAAA